AACCUUAUGGACCUGCGGGCGUAUACCUGCGGAAGGAUCAUUAUCGAGUGUAACCUACCACGUAAAAAAGGGUGGUACCUCCCGUCCUUUGCAGGCCCCCCUUUUGAUGGGGGGGCUUUUUAAGACUUUCUGCUUCGGCGGGGUUACUCCCGCCGGAACACCCUCAAAAAAACUCUUGAUCAAAAACCGUUCAGUCCGAGAAUUUUUGAAAAUUAAAAAAAAACUUUCAACAACGGAUCU
Molecule: unclassified non-coding RNA, 240 nt
Filed under: soil metagenome
Description: partial contains 5.8S ribosomal RNA, internal transcribed spacer 2, and large subunit ribosomal RNA
Source: RNAcentral